UUAUUCUUCCUUGCAAUGAUAAGACAGUGUUAAAGGCAUUUCUGUUCUCCUGAAAAGUGAAAGACGAGGGAAAAAGUUAUGUAACAAAGAUUAUAUAUACAUCAUCUAUCACUGAACGAAAUGCAAUGCUGGAUUCUUUCGCACCCUGUCGGGAGAAUGUGUGCCCUGCGACUGUAAUGGCAAUUCCAACGAGUGUUUGGACGGCUCAGGAUUCUGUGUGCACUGCCAGCGGAACACAACAGGAGAGCACUGUGAAAAGUGUCUGGAUGGUUAUAUCGGAGAUUCCAUCAGGGGAGCACCCCGAUUCUGCCAGCCGUGCCCCUGUCCCCUGCCCCACUUGGCCAAUUUUGCAGAAUCCUGCUAUAGGAAAAAUGGAGCUGUUCGGUGCAUUUGUAAUGAAAAUUAUGCUGGACCUAACUGUGAAAGAUGUGCUCCCGGUUACUAUGGAAACCCCUUACUCAUUGGAAGCACCUGUAAGAAAUGUGACUGCAGUGGAAAUUCAGAUCCCAACCUGAUCUUUGAAGAUUGUGAUGAAGUCACCGGCCAGUGUAGGAAUUG
RNAcentral lists this small RNA (558 nucleotides) under Pongo abelii (Sumatran orangutan). RNAcentral's name for it is "processed transcript". The record is from RNAcentral. Lineage: Eukaryota; Metazoa; Chordata; Mammalia; Primates; Hominidae.